Molecule: small nuclear RNA, 110 nt
Organism: Nannospalax galili (Upper Galilee mountains blind mole rat)
Lineage: Eukaryota; Metazoa; Chordata; Mammalia; Rodentia; Spalacidae
Source: Ensembl
GUGUUCACUUUGGCAGCACAUACACUAAAACUGGAACAAUAAUACAGAGAAGAUUAGCAGGGCCCCUGCGUAAGGAUGACAUGCAAACUCGUAAAGAGGUCCAUAUUAAA